RNAcentral lists this ribosomal RNA (90 nucleotides) under Vibrio crassostreae. Lineage: Bacteria; Pseudomonadati; Pseudomonadota; Gammaproteobacteria; Vibrionales; Vibrionaceae. RNAcentral also lists the same sequence under 3 other names. The record is from RNAcentral.
ACCUGAUUCCAUGCCGAACUCAGAAGUGAAACACAAUAGCGCCGAUGGUAGUGUGGGGCUUCCCCAUGUGAGAGUAGGACAUCGCCAGGC